CCGAAGUUACCCUUCAAACCCAUUGUGAACUUACCCCUGACGCGUUGCCUCGGCGGACGUCCAGGGCGGGUCCGGCUCCGGCCGCCCCGUCCCGGCCCCCGCCGGCAGCGCCAAACUCUUACUGUAAAGCGGACUGCAUAUUCUGAUUAGAUUUUUAAAACAAGUCA
This 167-nucleotide unclassified non-coding RNA is filed under the name uncultured Ascomycota. Its description in RNAcentral is "sequence contains ITS1". Lineage: Eukaryota; Fungi; Ascomycota. The record is from RNAcentral.